CGUUCUCUGGCUGGCGCCGGUCCGCGGCCGCGGCCUGAACGGUCACGAUUCCGAUCUGCUGUCGGAGCCGCGCUGGUUCCGCUUCCGCGAGGGCUACC
RNAcentral lists this transfer RNA (98 nucleotides) under Jannaschia seosinensis. RNAcentral's name for it is "tRNA-Phe". Lineage: Bacteria; Pseudomonadati; Pseudomonadota; Alphaproteobacteria; Rhodobacterales; Roseobacteraceae. The record is from RNAcentral.